GAUGAACGCUGGCGGCGUGCUUAACACAUGCAAGUCGAACGAUUGAAGCUGGAGCUUGCUCCGGCCGAUUUAGUGGCGGACGGGUGAGUAACGCGUGGGUAACCUGCCUCAUACAGGGGGAUGGCAGUUGGAAACGACUGGUAAAACCGCAUAAGCGCACAGUAUCGCAUGAUACAGUGUGAAAACACUCCGGUGGUAUGAGAUGGACCCGCGUCUGAUUAGCUAGUUGGUGAGGUAACGGCCCACCAAGGCGACGAUCAGUAGUCGGCCUGAGAGGGUGAACGGCCACAUUGGGACUGAGACACGGCCCAAACUCCUACGGGAGGCAGCAGUGGGGAAUAUUGCACAAUGGGGGAAACCCUGAUGCAGCGACGCCGCGUGAGUGAAGAAGUAUUUCGGUAUGUAAAGCUCUAUCAGCAGGGAAG
This 425-nucleotide ribosomal RNA is filed under the name uncultured bacterium. Its description in RNAcentral is "bacterial SSU rRNA". It matches the Rfam family "Bacterial small subunit ribosomal RNA", at positions 28 to 447 of the family's 1533-position model. The record is from RNAcentral.